CUUCAGAUCAGCUUACAACACUCAGGGAGGAAAGGGCUCAGCUAAGGAGGAGGAAAGGGCUCAGCCAAGGAGGAGGAAAGGGCUCAGCUAAGGAGAAGGAAAGGGCUCAGCUAAGGAGGAUGAAAGGGCUCAGCUAAGGAGAAGGAAAGGGCUCAGCUAAGGAGGAGGAAAGGGCUCAGCCAAGGAGGAGGAGAGGGCUCAGCUAAGGAGGAGGAAAGGGCUCAGCCAAGGAGGAAAGGGCUCAGUUAAGGAGAAGGAAAGGGCUCAGCCAAGGAGGAGGAAAGGGCUCAGCUAAGGAGGAGGAAAGGGCUCAGCCAAGGAGGAGGAGAGGGCUCAGCUAAGGAG
This is a long non-coding RNA of Oncorhynchus tshawytscha (Chinook salmon), 345 nucleotides long. The record is from Ensembl. NCBI's taxonomy places the organism in Eukaryota, Metazoa, Chordata, Actinopteri, Salmoniformes, Salmonidae.